Molecule: signal recognition particle RNA, 330 nt
Filed under: Octodon degus (degu)
Lineage: Eukaryota; Metazoa; Chordata; Mammalia; Rodentia; Octodontidae
Description: Metazoan signal recognition particle RNA (ENSODEG00000025866.1)
Rfam family: Metazoan signal recognition particle RNA (bases 1-289)
About the family: The signal recognition particle (SRP) is a universally conserved ribonucleoprotein. It is involved in the co-translational targeting of proteins to membranes.
Source: RNAcentral
GCUGGGCGUGGUGGCGCGUGCCUUUAGUCCCAGCUACUCGGGAGGCUGAGGUGGGAGGAUCACUUGAGUCCAGGAGUUCUGGGCUGCAGUGCACUAUGCCGAUUGGGUGUCCGCACUAAGUUCGGCAUCAAUAUGGUGACCUCCCAGGAGCGGGGGACCACCAGGUUGCCUAAGGAGGGGUGAACCGGCCCAGGUCAGAAACGGAGCAGGUGAAAACUCCCAUACUGAUUGGAGUGCGUGGCUCAGUGGGUGGAGGUAUUUGUUUCGAUUUUCAAAUCAGAAUGGGCUUGGCUGCUCCCAGGAAGCCUUCUGAGUAAAGGCAGGCCUCCU